GGGGAAUUUUCCGCAAUGGGCGAAAGCCUGACGGAGCAAUCUCGCGUGAGGGAUGACGGCCUAUGGGUUGUAAACCUCUUUUUUCAGGGAGGAAUCAAUGACGAGUACCUGAAGAAUAAGCAUCGGCUAACUCCGUGCCAGCAGCCGCGGUAAGACGGAGGAUGCAAGUGUUAUCCGGAAUCACUGGGCGUAAAGCGUCUGUAGGUGGUCUAGCAAGUCAACUGUUAAAUCUUGAAGCUCAACUUCAAAAUCGCAGUCGAAACUAUUAGACUAGAGUAUAGUAGGGGUAAAGGGAAUUUCCAGUGGAGCGGUGAAAUGCGUAGAGAUUGGAAAGAACACCGAUGGCGAAGGCACUUUACUGGGCUAUUACUGACACUCAGAGACGAAAGCUAGGGUAGCAAAUGGGAUUAGAUACCCCAGUAGUC
This 425-nucleotide ribosomal RNA is filed under the name uncultured cyanobacterium. RNAcentral describes it as "bacterial SSU rRNA". It matches the Rfam family "Bacterial small subunit ribosomal RNA", at positions 356 to 795 of the family's 1533-position model. Lineage: Bacteria; Bacillati; Cyanobacteriota. The record is from RNAcentral.